Molecule: ribosomal RNA, 490 nt
Filed under: uncultured bacterium
Lineage: Bacteria
Description: partial 16S ribosomal RNA
Rfam family: Bacterial small subunit ribosomal RNA
Source: RNAcentral
AUUGAACGCUGGCGGCAGGCCUAACACAUGCAAGUCGAACGGUAACAGGAAGAAGCUUGCUUCUUUGCUGACGAGUGGCGGUCGGGUGAGUAAUGUCUGGGAAACUGCCUGAUGGAGGGGGAUAACUACUGGAAACGGUAGCUAAUACCGCAUAACGUCGCAAGACCAAAGAGGGGGACCUUCGGGCCUCUUGCCAUCGGAUGUGCCCAGAUGGGAUUAGCUAGUAGGUGGGGUAACGGCUCACCUAGGCGACGAUCCCUAGCUGGUCUGAGAGGAUGACCAGCCACACUGGAACUGAGACACGGUCAAGACUCCUACGGGAGGCAGCAGUGGGGAAUAUUGCACAAUGGGCGCAAGCAUGAUGCAGCCAUGCCGCGUGUAUGAAGAAGGCCUUCGGGUUGUAAAGUACUUUCAGCGGGGAGGAAGGGAGUAAAGUUAAUACCUUUGCUCAUUGACGUUACCCGCAGAAGAAGCACCGGCUAACUCCGUG